GCAUCACCAGAUGAAAUCACAGUGCCUGGCACUCAAUCGAAAAUUAGAAGGCAUGAAAGGAAGCAGAAAAACACAAGCCAUUAGGAGGAGAAAGGCAAAAAAGACAUAGAGAUGUUAAAGAUGAUAGAACUAGUAGAUUGAUAGGUAAAUACAAGAGGCCAAAGGUUUUACUCCAGUGAAGAAACUACAUGUGGGACAGUAGCUGCAGUUGGAGUCAUCACCUGAUUAAGUUUAUGAUGAUACACUCUUACCCUCUAAGACUGUCAGUCUUCGAAGCAUAUACUAAACAGGUGAGCACUAUAACAGCAUAUAUGGGGGCUAAAACAGACCCUCAGAGAAGCAGAAAUUGAUAAUGCAAGAGAAGAAGACGGGAG
Long non-coding RNA from Gorilla gorilla gorilla (western lowland gorilla), 374 nucleotides. RefSeq lists it as uncharacterized. The transcript has 3 exons. The record is from RefSeq and is a predicted model, not a curated record. NCBI's taxonomy places the organism in Eukaryota, Metazoa, Chordata, Mammalia, Primates, Hominidae.